AUUGAAGGUGUCUCCGCUACAGACACAAGUGUCUGUAGCGGUUAAAAAGCAUAUCCUGCAACAAAGGUAGUGCACAGAGAAUUGAUUUAAACUCUUGUUUGCCAAGAAGUUACAAGUUUUUAUAGACAGUUACCUCAGUCUAGCAUGUGUCUUCAACCUAUCUCUGUCAGUUCUCACAGACCAAGAUGCUUUUACUCACACAGCAGAGGCAGAUCUCCCAGAAACCUCAUCUACCCUCCAGUACUGUCUCAUUGUCCUGCACUGGUGAACUCAGCUACACCGGCUGCCCUAUCCUCUGCCUAUGUAUUCUCUCACACUCCACGAGAAACUGGCAGAGGUGGUGGUACGGGUCUCCUGUUGUCCAAGAGGUGGUCCUUCUCGCCCAUCACCCUGUCUCAUCUCAGUUUUUCAUCAUUUGAAUUUCAUGCAGUUAAGAUCUCCUUUGCCCGCUGUCAUCUAAACCAAGGAAGAAAUCUUGUCCUGCUCCUUGGCUAUCUGAUGUACUGCGCAACAACAGGAGAGAAUUAAGAACUGCGGAGAGAAGAUGGAAGAAAUCACAGCUUGAUGCAGAUCUCAUCUCUUACCAGACUCUUCUUUCCAAAUUCUCAUGUGAUGUGACUUCUGCCAAAACUACCUUCUUCAGACAAAAGUUGGAAGCGUCUGCACAUGAUCCUGGCAAACUCCACAACAUCUUCUCCUCACUACUCAACCCACCGACUCCUCCUGCCCCUUCCUCUCUGACUGCUGACGAUUUUGCCACAUUCUACGAUGGGAAGAUUGUAGCAAUCCGCCAGUCCUUCGCUCUCAACAGAACUCCUACGGCAGAACCUCAGGACCUUUCCUUCCCUCCUUUAGCAGAAUUUUCCAACUUGUCAUCUGACGAGAUUCAACAGAUCAUCUCGUCAUCUAACCCCACCACCUGUUCAUUAGACCCAAUCCCUUCCACAAUGCUCCAGGCCAUCUCACGUGACCUCCUUCCCUUCACCACAGCCAUCAUCAACCAAUCCAUAUCAUCUGGUCAUGUUCCUGCCGCUU
Long non-coding RNA from Clarias gariepinus (North African catfish), 1035 nucleotides. RefSeq lists it as uncharacterized. NCBI's taxonomy places the organism in Eukaryota, Metazoa, Chordata, Actinopteri, Siluriformes, Clariidae. The record is from RefSeq and is a predicted model, not a curated record. The transcript is spliced from 3 exons.